CUUUACUACGAACUCCGAUCUUUAUAUCACUCACAAAAACAUUCAAAUCUUCAAACUCACAUUAUUUUAUACUCUGUGGAUCUCCACCUUGGAUCUGUGGAAUUCCCACCUUGCUCUGCAUCUAUAAGCUAAGGAAGUUGUGACCAACUUGAAGCAAACACAACCUCAAGUCGCAGAAUCAGCAAUGUGGUUGGAGGCCACUGGUGGUAUGAGGAAAGGGGGGUACGUUUCAGGAUUUGGGUCGGAUACCGCACACUUCUUCCCCGAGGCUAGGAUACACAGGAAAUCCAAUAUUGGGUCAUCAACUUCACAUUCAUCUUGUGAAGCUCGAAUUAGGCAAUUAGAGGAGCAAAAUCAAGUGAUGCAACAGCAGCAACAAGAUAUGCAUGAAGAAAAUCGGAGGAUCCGUAAUAUCGUCCAGAAAAUGGAAGCAACACUUGCCCAAUUUAGUGCAAAUCUUGGUAGUCUUGAUCAAGAUCCAAACAAAAAUAGCUCUACACUACCCCCCUCCACCUCCGAUGAUGAUACACUAGCCCCCUCUAGUCAAGAUUAGAUAGCAUAUUAUUUGAACGAUUUGAAAACUUGUUUUGGAUAGUGAAACAUAGCUGCAAACAAUAGCUAUAUUUUUUAUAGUGAAGCAACUGCUACACUUUGGAUUAUUUGAAUGAUUUGAAAACCUGUUUUGGAUGGUGAAA
Ipomoea triloba (trilobed morning glory) is the source of this 695-nucleotide RNA transcript. RefSeq lists it as uncharacterized. Lineage: Eukaryota; Viridiplantae; Streptophyta; Magnoliopsida; Solanales; Convolvulaceae. The transcript is spliced from 2 exons. The record is from RefSeq and is a predicted model, not a curated record.